GACGAACGCUGGCGGCGUGCUUAACACAUGCAAGUCGAACGGAAAGGCCCUGCUUUUGUGGGGUGCUCGAGUGGCGAACGGGUGAGUAACACGUGAGUAACCUGCCCUUGACUUUGGGAUAACUUCAGGAAACUGGGGCUAAUACCGGAUAGGAGCUCCUGCUGCAUGGUGGGGGUUGGAAAGUUUCGGCGGUUGGGGAUGGACUCGCGGCUUAUCAGCUUGUUGGUGAGGUAGUGGCUUACCAAGGCUUUGACGGGUAGCCGGCCUGAGAGGGUGACCGGCCACAUUGGGACUGAGAUACGGCCCAGACUCAUACGGGAGGCAGGAGUGGGGAAUAUUGCACAAUGGGCGGAAGCCGGAUGCAGCAACGCCGCGUGCGGGAUGACGGCCUUCGGGUUGUAAACCGCUUUCGCCUGUGACGAAGCGUGAGUGACGGUAAUGGGUAAAGAAGCACCGGCAAAUUACGU
Molecule: ribosomal RNA, 467 nt
Filed under: uncultured bacterium
Lineage: Bacteria
Description: partial 16S ribosomal RNA
Rfam family: Bacterial small subunit ribosomal RNA
Source: RNAcentral